GGCUUUUCGCAAAAUAAAUUCGUCUACUUUCAAUUGUGCAGGAAACCCAAUCCAUAAGACCUCACUGGGUUCUCCACUCUUAUCAUUUAACCUUGAUUUGUCCGGAUGUGGUGAUAAGUCAGGAGUAGAGUGGCGAGGCCUCAAGUCCCUUUGCGGAAGUGGAGAUCUUCUUAUCAUGGGACGUUCAUCUCGACGUGGAAAAUACUCUUCAUCCCGUGCUGGAGGUGAUGAUUUUUCCUGUGAUAUAAAACCCUAUUUAGAGCAGAACUAUCGCCAUUUUUUAUUGAACGAGGCCUCAAGUCCCUUUGUGGAAGUGGAGAUCUUCUCAUCAUGGGACGUUCAUCUCGACGUGGAAAAUACUCUUCAUCCCGCACUGGAGGUGAUGAUUUUUCCUGUGAUAUAAAAC
RNAcentral lists this long non-coding RNA (406 nucleotides) under Nicotiana benthamiana. RNAcentral's name for it is "long non-coding RNA (NBEN_LNC010055)". The record is from RNAcentral. Lineage: Eukaryota; Viridiplantae; Streptophyta; Magnoliopsida; Solanales; Solanaceae.